GGGGGUGUAGCUCAGUGGUAGAGUGCAUGCUUUGCAUGCAUGAAGCCCUGGGUUCGAUGCCCAGCACCUCCA
Molecule: non-coding RNA, 72 nt
Organism: Mirounga angustirostris (Northern elephant seal)
Lineage: Eukaryota; Metazoa; Chordata; Mammalia; Carnivora; Phocidae
Source: the annotation of a RefSeq genome assembly